CUUGACAUCCUUUUGACCAAUGCCUAAUCGCAUUUUUCCCUUCGGGGACAGAAGUGACAGGUGGUGCAUGGCUGUCGUCAGCUCGUGUUGUGAAAUGUUGGGUUAAGUCCCGCAACGAGCGCAACCCUUAUCCUUUGUUGCCAGCGGUCCGGCCGGGAACUCAAAGGAGACUGCCAGUGAUAAACUGGAGGAAGGUGGGGAUGACNUCAAGUCAUCAUGGCCCUUACGACCAGGGCUACACACGUGCUACAAUGGCGCAUACAAAGAGAAGCGACCUCGCGAGAGCAAGCGGACCUCAUAAAGUGCGUCGUAGUCCGGAUUGGAGUCUGCAACUCGACUCCAUGAAGUCGGAAUCGCUAGUAAUCGUGGAUCAAAAUGCCACGGUGAAUACGUUCCCGGGUCUUGUACACA
RNAcentral lists this ribosomal RNA (411 nucleotides) under uncultured bacterium. RNAcentral describes it as "bacterial SSU rRNA". It matches the Rfam family "Bacterial small subunit ribosomal RNA", at positions 980 to 1389 of the family's 1533-position model. The record is from RNAcentral.